This 735-nucleotide long non-coding RNA is filed under the name Musa acuminata (dwarf banana). Its description in RNAcentral is "long non-coding RNA (MACU_LNC009565)". Lineage: Eukaryota; Viridiplantae; Streptophyta; Magnoliopsida; Zingiberales; Musaceae. The record is from RNAcentral.
GGAGGAGAAAGGAAGAAGAGGAGAAGAAGAAAAGAAGAAGAAGAGGGAAAAGAAGAGAGGAGGAAGAAGAGGGAGAAGAGAAGAAUAGAAGAAGAAGAAAAAGAGAGGGAAGUGGGAGAGGAGCGAGAGGUGGCAGCAGCUAGGGCUGCAGCACUUUUGUUUCCUGCAGGUGGAAACAAAGGAGAGGUGUGGGGCGUUCGAAGAGGAGAAGAAGAAGAAGAAGAGGAGAAUAAGAAGAGAAGGGAAAGGAGGAGCUGCGGCUGCAGCGGUGGCAGCUGCAGCUGGAAGAGAAGGUGAGGAAGAAGAGAAGAAGAAGAAAGGAAGGAGAGGAAGAAGAGAAGGGGAAGAAGGGGCUGCGGCAGCGGCGAUGGCAGCUGCAGCUGGAAGAGAAGAAGGAGAGGAAGAUGAGCAGGGGAGGAAGAAGAGGCUACGACCGUGGCUGAGGCUGCGACUGCAGCAGUGCAGCUAGGAAAGAAGAGAAGGAAAGGAAGAAGAAGAGAAAGGAAAAGGGAAGAAGAGAGGAAGAGGAGAAGGGGAGGCAGCUGCGGUAGUGGCAGCUGCAGCUGGAUGGAAGGAGAGGAAACAAAGUAGGGGAGGAAGAAGAGGCUGCGGCUGUGGUGGCUGCGACUGCGGCUGCGGCUGCGAUGUUGGUUGCGGUAGCUGCGGCAGUGGUGGUGGCUGCAGUAGCUGCUUUUGGGAAAGAGAAAGAAAGGAAAGGGAAAAAAAAAAAGGGGG